Molecule: long non-coding RNA, 2527 nt
Filed under: Ananas comosus (pineapple)
Lineage: Eukaryota; Viridiplantae; Streptophyta; Magnoliopsida; Poales; Bromeliaceae
Description: long non-coding RNA (ACOM_LNC028111)
Source: RNAcentral
UCAUUUACCUAGUGAUCAAAAAGAUUCAAAAUCAACAAUUUUUAAUGGUUAAUGUAUACCGUUUGCAAGUUUAAUAGUGUAGAAGUAUUCAAAUCAAAUAAAAUUUUGAUAGAAAAUUCUUUAUACUAUCUACAACAAGAUCAAUAUCUCUGAUCGAAAAUUUCAGUGCUACAUCAUAACUUUUUGUGAGAUUUUUAUUUUCAACCGUUGAUUUUGAGUUUUUUCGAUUACUAGAUAAACGAUAUCGAAAAACAGUAAAAUUUAUAUUCUAGAUAGUUCAAAUACGUUAGAUCAAGUCUAAUAGAGUCGAUUAUCGAUUUGUAAGUUACAUCAUCGAAAACGGCUUAGGAGCCUCCAUGCUCCUAAUAGCACACAAGACCUACUCUCUAUAUAUGUAUGUGUGUGUGUGUGUGUGUAUAUGUAAUAUUCUAGAUCAAGUCUAACGGAGCUAAUCGUCGAUUCGAAAGUUCCAACAUCGAAAACGACUUGGAGGCACGAAGGGCUCCGUGCUUCCAGAAGCAUACCAGCCUCACUCUAUAUAUGUGUAUAUAUAUAGAACUAGGCUACUAUACUAUUAAUAGCACCAAGUCAUUAGUGCUAUCAGAUUUUCAGCCCUUGGAUAAAGGGAUGUGCAGUUAGGAUGAUAGUGAUCCCCUAGGAUUUAGUGGGUGGUUGGUGGAAUAGUAUGAUCUAAUGGAUGGAAAAUGAUCAAAGGACUAGAUCUAAUGGUGAAAAACUUGGUAGCACCAAGUGCUUGGUGCUAUUGAUAACAUUGUAGGUUGUAGCUGAACUCUAUAUAUAUAUAUAAUUCAGCUCCUAUGCUUUUAAAAGCACGAAGUUAUUGGUAUUUGUAGGUUUUCGGCCCUUGGAUGAAGGGUUGUGCGAUUAGGAUGAUAGUGGUCUCCUAAGGUUGAGUAGGUGGUUGGCAGAAUAGUAUACUCUAAGGGGUGAAAUUGGUCAAAGGGAUAGAUCUAAUGAUGAGAAACUUCCAAGCACCAAAUGCUUGGUGCUUUUAAAAGCACAAUAGCCAGACUAUAUAUAUAUAUAUAUAUAUAUAUAUAUAUAUAGAGAGAGAGAGAGAGAGAGAGAGAGAGAGAGUCUGACUACUAUACUCUUUUGAGUACCAUCAACUUCGUAGUCAUAAGUCGUUUUUCGAUGAUAGAGCUUUUGAAUCGACGAUCCAUACCGUUAAACAUGAUUUAGAGCAUUUGAAACUUCUAAAACCAAAUUCCAUAAUUUUUCAACAUUAUUUACCUUACGAUCAAAAGAUCUCAAGAUUGACAAUUUUUAACGGCCGGUAUGAGAUGCUCGUUAGUUUAACGGUAUAGAAGAAUCGGAAUCGGUUAAAUUUUUGAUAGAAAAUUCUAUUCAUUAUCUAGAUAGAGAUCUAUAACUUUGAUCUUACAUUGAAGAAUGUGAUCCUCUAUUUUUAGAAAGUUGUUCAAUUUUGACCAUUCCUUUUAUGCCUGCUUGAUUAACUUUAUUAUGAUUUCGAAAAAUUACGAAAUUCAUUUCCUAAAAGUUUCAAAUGCUCUAAAUCAUAUUUAAUGGUAUAGAUCGUUGAUUCGGAAGUUCUAUUAUUGAAAACAACUUAUGAGGACAAAGAGUUCUAUGCUGAUAAGAGUAUAGUAGCCCUACACUCUAUAUAUAUUCAUACAAAGAUUUUAUACAUAGGAAAACACAAGAAUCAUCCAAUAUCAGAGAGAUAUGUAGAAAGCUUUUAUACACGGGAAAUUACUACAAUGACCUGAUAUCUUUUCUAACAUGAUUAACCUGCCCUUUUUCAACUUUUAUUUUUCAUUUUCUACCAUAGUUUUAUUUUAAUAUAUCAAAAUAACUAGAAGCAAAAAAGUGAUCAACAAAAUAUUAUGGUAGAGAGAGAUGGAACUAGAGGGCAAGUGAAGAAAUAUACUGUUCGACGGCCGAUUUGACUUCAUUCUUCUCGAUCUUUCCUCCCACCCCAGAAGCAAGAUCUAGAGCUCCUGACUUCGACAUCACCGGNAGAGCUCCCGACUUCGACAUCACCGGAUCCCGUCGACAACAAAUUAUCUGCUAAAUAAUUCCAAGGAAAGGGUUAUUCAUAAAAAAAUGUGGAUCUGCCGUUCCGAAUAUGCACUUGAAGGACCAGAUCUAUGGAGGAAAAUAGAAAUGAAAAAGGAUAAAAAGGGAUGACGAUCUGCCUUUUCCCAAUAUGCACUUGAAAGACCAGAUCUAUGGAGGAAAACAGAAACGAAAAAUGUAAUGACCUGAAGUAUAAGUAGCAGUAGUUAACAGAGGAGGUAAAUAAAAGUGUUAACUUUGCAUAGUAAACAGAAAUAAGGGCCGCAGCAGGUUGAGGAAGGCGCGAGCUUGGUAGAACUCCGGCGGCGUGAGGGCGCUCGGGUGGAACUCCGGCGGAACGACGGAACUAGGGCAUCCUCAGAGCUCGGAGAGGGCGAUGGGAGGAUCGAGAAGGGAGAAAAGGGGGUCCGACAGAUCUUGGUAUUUGGGGCGAAGAAGAGAACCGGCGGGUUUAGGGAUGUCAAUG